Molecule: non-coding RNA, 4235 nt
Organism: Microcebus murinus (gray mouse lemur)
Lineage: Eukaryota; Metazoa; Chordata; Mammalia; Primates; Cheirogaleidae
Source: RefSeq, a predicted model, not a curated record
CGCGGUGGCAGCGCCGAGGAGCGGGCGAGCUUCCCAGACCGUAGCGCGCUCGGCGUGGUUCCAGUGCAGAGCCUGACGCGGGAGGCCUGGGUCCGUGGUGUGCGUUGCCACCCGGCUCCUCGGGGCCCGUCCCAUGGUCCGCUGGCCACAGCUGGAUGGAGUAGGGAGGCCUCACAGCUGCCCAGAGGUUCCGGGCGGGAGGGGUUGCUGAGCCUGGCUUGGGGGAACCUGCUCGCUGACGGCACCAGCUCCUUCUCCGGCCCCUUCCUGGCGCUUGCUGAGGUUGCCCUUCCACGGAGCAUGAGCCACUCCCACUGGCACCCUGUUUGGGGCGUGCUUCCCAGCCGAAGACGAUGUCGCUCCCGAACCCCAUUCGUCAGCUGUGUGACCUCGAGCAAGUCGCUUUGCCUCUCUGAGCCUCAGUUUCCCUAAUCUUCAAACGGAGACAGUAGGUUGCAGGGAAGCUGACGCAGGCGAACACGCGCAGGGAACCUGGAAGGACGCCCGGCACGCGGUUUAAGAUGUCGGAGACGACGCAGGUGUUUGCGCAGCUGUGUUUGGGAGCAGCAGGGCCGGCCCGUGUGGCCACAGCCUCGCCGGGUCGCUGGGCUCCACCCCGCACUCCUGGCACUCCGUUAGAGGCUGGGGCGCUACGCAGGCAUCGGGGCGGGUGCCUCUCUGGGGAUAGCUCAGAAGGAGGAUUCAUUUUGAACCCAAAACACCGCCACUCCAUGAUUCUUAUUUUUUGAGUCUCUUCUUUAAACCAGCAGUCUCCAACCCGCGCCCCCUGGCCACAGCCGAGGGCCGGGAGGCGGCCUACUAGGGACUGGGCUGCGUAGACCACCUGGGCUCUCCAGCUGCCCCACCCCACCCGUUUCCCGUCCCUGGAAAAACUGUCUUCCACGAAACUGGUCCCUGGUGCCAAAAGGGCCGGGGACCGCUGCUUGAAAUACAUCCUGGGGGAAUGGAUGCUAAUGGCAGUGGUUUAUUUUUCAUUUAUUUUUAAUGCCAAAGCCAACAAUAAAAAAAAAAAAAAAGCUUUGCGAAUGCCUCCCCCAAAGUGGGGAUGGGGGGAGCGGGGGCCACACACAUGGUGAAUGAAGAGGAAGUGGAUGGAAACCCCCUGUGCUAGCUGCCGACACAGCCCGUGACCCCUGACCCUGGCGGGAGGGAGGGGGUCCCAAGUUCCAAGGUGCAAGGGGAGAGCUCUGGUCCCGAAACCUGGGAUGGAUGCCGUGUUCCUCCGGGAAGGGAGGCUGGGAGGGGAGAGAAGUGUGAAGCAGAUGGAAAUGUAAUUUUUUAAUGACAGCAGCAGAUGGCAAAAAGACACAAGAGUGUAUUCACACCACGUCGGAGCCAUUUGAGAGCGCCGGGCCCAGCCGCGACGUGUGCGGUGGGGCUGUCGUGACGGCUCCCCUGCCAAGCCCCGGAGCAGCCGGCGGGCUGCAGGCGGGAACACGCAGCCCCCCUCCCCCUCGGAGAGGGCCGGGACGCGCUGCCAGGCUGUGCGGAGCCACAGGUAGAUGGGGAAAUACCUGUGGCCACCUGGGUCGAAUCUGGAAGCUUCCCUGGGCCUGGCGUGCAUAGUCGGUCGGCUCUGCCUCGGGACAGACCCCACUCUUGGAGCCCUAGGUCGGGCCAUCGCCACUACUCACCUGCCGCCAGGUGAGCCUCCUGUUGCUAGGCUGGCCCGCCCCCAACUUCAUCCACCCAGGGUUCUUUUCUAAAACGCAAAUCUACCGCGUCUCCCUUUGGGCUUGCUUAUGGUGAAAUAGCUUGCUUUAAGUGGCCUCCCACUGACUUCAGGAUCAAGGCCAAGUUCUUCAAGUGGCUUGCAAGGGCAGGCCCAGGUUUGGCCCUGCUUACAUCUUUCUUGCUUCACUCCUCGCCACUGCCUGCCUGGAACGCCGCGCUCAGCAGGGAGGAUUAAGCACCUCGCAGGGCUGUUGAGAAAGAGCUGCUACCAUCCAUCGUCAAGAGGGCAAAAAAAAACCACGGUUUGUUGAGCAAAGGCUGCGUCAGACACUGCGGAGGGCUUCACCUGCGUCAGUCCCUUUAUGCCUUGCAGCAGCUGGAAGAGAAGGUAGAGUUCAAAGUAGGUAACAGGUGAGGCCGACGGGGCCAAAUCGAUCAGGGCUGCUGCACCGGCCACCAACGCCCAGGCCGUGGGUACCAGGUGACAUCAGAGCUGAAGGAAGGAGGUCAGGUGAUCACCCGGGCGCAGGUGCAUGCUCAGGUCUCGGCAGGGAGCUGGGCGCCUUCUACUCUGGGCACCCAGAGCUCGGUGGGGCGUCCCAACCUGCCUGGGGAGCGGUCCUUUCUUAUCCCCAAGGGCACUCACAGUGCCACACCACUGGCUCGCGUCAGCUGAGGCCGGGGGAGGCAGAGGUACCCCUGGGGGAGGUGUUUUCCAUUCCAAAUUUCUUUUUUGCAGCAUGACUGUAUUUCUAGCCCCUCCUCGGUUCAGGAACAGUAACAAGCCCGCCAGGUGCCAGUUACUGUUACGAGACCACAGGAGAGAAGCCGGGCGCAGUUUACGCCACAGAGCGGUGGCCUCAACCGUGGCAGAGGAGGCUGAAAACCACGGAUGUCCGAAGCAAGGCCUGGGCGUGGCGCAGGGUUCCAUCCGGGAUCCCAGGGGACGUUUAGUCUUCGCAUCUCCUUAGGCUGCUCCUGGCUCUAGCAGUUUCUCGGACUUUCCUUGUUUUUUGAUGACCUUGAGAGUUUGGAGGCCUGCCCAGGUGUUUUGCAGAGCGCCCCCCAACUGAAGCCAGCCGUUUUCCUCUUGAUUAGAGAGUGGCCUUGGGUUUUUGGUGGAGGAAGUCCCCAGAGAAGGAUGUCACGGUGCAGCCCGAGCUGCAGGUGUUGAGCGCUCACGUGCCACUGCCCUGCGGGAGAAGGACCUACAUACCUGCCGCGGAGGUGACUCUCGCACAGGUGACUUGUCUCUCUGCCCCCAUUUAUUUAUUUAUUCAGUCCUUUAUGUCAGCACGCACUCAUCAAUAUGUGUUUUACACUUUGCAUACUGAUCCAGCAGUAAACGUUUUGGUGCCCAAAUGGUUUGGGAGCUCUUUCUGUUGGCCCCUGGGCCCCUCUGAUGUGUGCUCGCCGUGGUGGGUUUUGUGUCUGUGUGUGUGUGUGCUCUCUGGUAGGACAAGGUGCUUUACCUCCAUCUGGUGUAUUCCCUGCCCAGGCCCGGGCCCAGCCAUGUCCCCUUUCUCAGGGGAGCCCCGGCUCCUUUUGUCGAGAACGGCGUCAGAAAACAAGACCCGGGCGUGGGUGUGCUCACUGCCCUGCACGUUGUCUCUUCCAGGCCUCCCGGUGGACGCAGCAAGGAGACUGCACCAAUCAGGAAGGGAGGCCUCGCCAGCUUUGGAGCACAAAUAUUUGCCAGUCAAGAAAACACUCCCUCAUCAAUCAAAACCCAGACAAACUGGCUGUCUCUCUCUGCAGCCGCCUGAGGCAGUUUCUAUUUUGGGAGGGGCCAGGUGGCCCGCAGCUUCCACUCCUACCAGAACACUCCAGGCUCCUCCUCUUCUCCCUACCUUAUUUUGAAGAUGGAGAGACUGAGGUUCAAAGUGGUCACAUAUAGCAUCCAGAGUGACCUUUUAUUUUCUUUGAGCAUAUCUGUCUUAAUAAUGAAGGUAACGCAUAGUAAAAUCUCCAAGUCUGUAAAUGACAACUUCCAAGGCUUAUAAACAACAGAUGUAUCUUUCCGUGUGAGCGGGCAGAACCUAACUGUAUACCUUUAGUUCACCUUCCCAACAACAUGGGGGAGUCCAGCAAGAGAGCUCCAGGUACCUGGGGUGGAAUGGAUUUUUGCAGGAUACUGAACCCUGGCAUGCAUGCAUUCCCUAUGAGUUUUCUCAGGGCCGAAUGGUCGAGGUUUCACAUUUGAGUGCAGUCUAAGACCAGCUACUUCACCUCCCAGGAAGCUUUCCUGGCCCCGUUACCUGCCCAUCAAAAUCCCCCCGGCCCUGGUUAAAACUCAGCUUUCUGUCCUCACCCCACUGCUGAAUCAUGGCUCCCCAGGAGGGACUGUGACACAGGUGAGUUUGGUUUCGCUCGCCCGUGCACGGAGGGCGUGGGGUUCAGCGAGCACCUGGGCCACCGGCACGUGUCCACUCGGGCCUGGCCUGGGUGCUCGCCCACGUGCAAACGCUCAGCUGCUUCUCUGAAGGGUUUGCAUGCACUGGAAGGGGUGGGUGGGGUGGAGGAGUCUGCGCUUUUGCACA